AUCUACGACCAUGCCAACCUGAACAUGCCUGAUCUCAUCUGAUCUUGGAAGCUAAGCAGGGUCAGGCCUUGUUAGUACUUGGAUAGGAGACCACCUUGGAAUACCAGGUGCUGUAGGCA
This 119-nucleotide ribosomal RNA is filed under the name Pteropus alecto (black flying fox). The record is from RNAcentral. Lineage: Eukaryota; Metazoa; Chordata; Mammalia; Chiroptera; Pteropodidae.